UACGGAGGGUGCAAGCGUUAUCCGGAUUCACUGGGUUUAAAGGGUGCGUAGGUGGGCAGGUAAGUCAGUGGUGAAAUCUCUGGGCUUAACCCGGAAACUGCCGUUGAUACUAUCUGUCUUGAAUAUAGUGGAGGUGAGCGGAAUAUGUCAUGUAGCGGUGAAAUGCUUAGAUAUGACAUAGAACAUCGAUUGCGAAGGCAGCUCGCUACACUAUUAUUGACGCUGAGGCACGAAAGCGUGGGGAUCAAACAGG
This 253-nucleotide ribosomal RNA is filed under the name uncultured bacterium. RNAcentral's name for it is "partial 16S ribosomal RNA". It matches the Rfam family "Bacterial small subunit ribosomal RNA", at positions 524 to 776 of the family's 1533-position model. The record is from RNAcentral.